AAAGAUUUGCAGCCUAUGGCUCCAAUUGAAGGUGUUAUUCAGGUUCAAGGGGGACAUUACUAAUGCUUGGACUGCUAAAAUGGUCAUCAGACCAUUUCACGGAUGCAAAGCGGACAUUGGUAGCUAAUAAUUCCAUUGGUUCCAAUUGGAACAGGCACAGCAAAUGUAUUAUCAUCAUGCAAUGAAUGUAAAAUUGAAUAGGUCAAAUCACAAGGAUGUCAAAGAAGAUGAAAGCAAUGUUGAUGCAGAGGUUCAGAGGUGACAUUUUAAAAGCCCUUUUGUUAUCUAUAGGUAAGUGUAGAAAAGUGGAAAGGAUCUGUAGUGAGAGUUUGUUGGUGGAAUCCUUUAUUAAUGCUUCCUGCUCAGAGAGUUAUGUAUUGACAAGACUCAAAGAGUUCUGUAAAAACGCUUUGCAAUUCAAUAGAGGCAUCAGCGACAAAAUAAGUUGUGUCGUUGAAACAUA
This is a long non-coding RNA of Capsella rubella, 463 nucleotides long. RefSeq lists it as uncharacterized. The record is from RefSeq and is a predicted model, not a curated record. The transcript is spliced from 3 exons. Lineage: Eukaryota; Viridiplantae; Streptophyta; Magnoliopsida; Brassicales; Brassicaceae.